Molecule: long non-coding RNA, 1704 nt
Filed under: Anolis carolinensis (green anole)
Lineage: Eukaryota; Metazoa; Chordata; Lepidosauria; Squamata; Anolidae
Description: lncRNA (ENSACAG00000036189.1)
Source: RNAcentral
AUGCCGCCUCCACACCCCUGUGCCUUCACCGACCACCUGGCUCUCUUCUACAAUCAAUGGGAGUCCAUCACUUCAGAUGCUUGGGUUCUUCGCAUUGUCCAAGAGGGCUACGCCUUAGAAUUUGCAGAGCUCCCACCUACAGGUCACGUUCUUCCUUCAACUCCUUCUCCAGAAAUACUGGCCGAAAUCAAUGCCCUUCUGGCCAAAGGGGCCAUCCGUCUCUCUCCUCCCGAACAGGACCCGCAAAGCUUCUUCUCCAGAUACUUCACGGUCCCGAAGAGGGGGGGCGGACUGCGCCCCAUUCUAGACUUAAGGGCUCUCAAUGUCUUCAUUCGCCCAUCCAAAUUCAGAAUGGUCUCUAUUGCCUCUAUUCUCCCGAUGCUGCAGCGGGGAGACUACUUUGCCUCCAUAGACUUACGAGACGCUUACUUCCACGUAGCGAUAAGGGAGGCUCACAGACGUUUCCUCUGUUUCAAAGUCCUCGACCAAACUUAUCAAUUCACCGUUUUACCCUUCGGCCUAGUCACGGUGCCAAGGGUCUUCACCAAAGUUGUUGCCACCUUAGCGGCCCACCUGAGGCUGCAUGGCAUCACGGUCUUUCCUUAUCUAGACGACUGGCUUCUGGUCGGGCCCGACCCUGUUCUUCUCGAACGCCAAGUCUCCUUCACACUGCACCUCCUGAACUCUCUCCAUCUCCAACUCAAUACCGAGAAGUCACAUCUCACCCCGUCGACAAAAAUUCACUUCAUCGGCGCUCUCUUCGACUCCGUUACGCAGACCGUCUCGCUACCGCUUGACAGAUUCCUAGCUCUCCGCCACCAGAUCACCCUAUGUCGAUCCGCCUGGAGGGUCCGAGCCCGUGCCAUUCAGGUCCUUCUAGGGCACAUGGCCUCCACGGUCCUCACGACCCCCUUCGCCAGACUGCGUCUUCGGGUCCUACAAAGGUGGUUUAUAGACACUUUCAAGCCGCUCUACCACCACAACUCGAAGUAUCUGUCGAUACCGUCAAACGUUCGCCGAUCCCUCUUAUGGUGGACGUCUCACCGAAACGUGUGCAGGGGACUUCCAUUUCACCCGACCCAACCCUCAAUGACUAUAACCACGGACUCCUCCACCUACGCCUGGGGAGCCCACAUGAACGGCCUGACGGUCCAAGAUCUUUGGUCCCCAUCCGAAAGGACCAACCACAUAAACUUUCUCAGACUUCUCGCCAUCCUCAAAGCCCUGAAAGCUUUCUCCCACCUCAUCUGCCACAAGUCCAUCCUCAUCCAAUCGGACAAUCUAGUAGCAGUCUUCUACAUCAACAAACAGGGCGGUAUGGGUUCGAGAAAGCUGAUGCACCUCUCCUCCCGUCUCUGGCUUUGGUGCAUAGCCCACGAGGUCCAAGUCUCUGCGAUUCACCUUCCCGGUGCCCAGAACGACUUGGCAGAUGCCCUCAGCAGAAUGACAUCCUCCUUUCACGAGUGGAAGCUCGAUCCCGAAAUUCUCCACACCCUAUUCCUCGAUUGGGGGCGGCCUACUCUGGACCUCUUUGCCUCUCCCCAGAACGCUCAGCUGUCCCCCCGAACUCCUUUCCAGGCUGCCUGGGAGACGCCUUUCUACUGGACUGGUCAGCAGAAAUGCUUUACCUCUUUCCCCCCAUUCCUCUCAUACCGAAAGUCCUCGAAAGACUCCUCUCGAUCUCGGUCACGGCGAUCCUCAUAG